Dipodomys spectabilis (banner-tailed kangaroo rat) is the source of this 399-nucleotide long non-coding RNA. RefSeq lists it as uncharacterized. The record is from RefSeq and is a predicted model, not a curated record. The transcript is spliced from 3 exons. NCBI's taxonomy places the organism in Eukaryota, Metazoa, Chordata, Mammalia, Rodentia, Heteromyidae.
CAGAGUUGUCUUCGGUGUAAUUCCAAACUUCAGCUCAGCACCAUGAAGUUCUUAUCUCUCCUUGUAUUACUAGGAGUUGCUACCAUGCUGGUUUUUGCUGAUGAGCCUGCUAAUGCGGGCUCCGCUGGAGGUUUUCCUGUGAAGAUACCUGACUUUGAAACACUUAAUGCUCUUUUCUCAAAAUUUACAGAUGAUUUUAUAAAUAUGUUGCCAUGGAUAAAGCCAUAAAUAUGAGAGUGAGAAUGAAAAAGUUUUCAUCUUCAAGAUUUGUUCUGCAGGACUCAACCAGCAAUGCUUUCAUUUGAAAUGAUCCAUCAACCCCCUCAGCCUGACAAUGUAGCUUCUUGCCUCCAGUCAGAUUAAUCAGAUUAUCUUUCAAUUAAAUAAUAAUUCUGUGCA